UGUUUCUGACAGUACUUUCUACAAACCGACUGACCACUUUUAAAUCUGUUUAGGUUAUAGUAUGUACGGAGUGUAAUAAUUAACGACUCUAGAUAAUAUUAUCGGUCACAGUUCGAGAAAAUCGACACGAGGCACUGCGCGAGUAGGAAAUGUUUUUAAAACUCUUUUUUGUGUUUUUUCUUAUUGGAUUAACUUAUGGGUUACCCCAAUACAGCUACAACCAAGGCCGUUCCGUGCCAGGGACCGAAUUCAGCGGACUAGCCAACGGCCAAGGUAGCCAAGGCUCCGGACCGGCCGCCAAUCAAGGAUAUGGGAAUGGACAAGACUUUAAUCACCGUAAGGGUUACCAAGAGAUGGGAUAUUAAUGUUUUACAUAAUCUCGACGAUAAUAAAAGCACCAAUCGCAAUUUAGAUAAUCAUGUUCUGUAAUUAUCACUAAAUAUAUAAGGCAUUAUCAAACUGUCUAUUAAUGAUUCCUAUUCUCAAAAGUAAGCACAUGCUUACUCUGGACCUAAAGAAAAUGAAGAACUGGCUCGCAAGUGCGUUGGGGCCUUUACCGACUAAUUGGUAACUCUUUUCUUGAAGGACCCUGAUUUGAAUGGGCCGGGAUAUACUUCAGUGGGGAAGUGGUUCCACAUAGCGAUUUAAGUCAAGAACUGGCAGCCAAAAACGCUCAGUUGUAGAACGACGGACCUCGACUUGCAAUUUUAUUUUGCUUCUCGUCAAUACGAUGGUGACGUGAUGACGACUGCUCGUGGUAAAUGCGGUAGAAGGUUCAGAGAGAACUCACAUUUGUCGUUGACGAUAUGAACCGCUCUACAUAGAAUACGGUCAACUGAAAGGAUCUGGUACUGGAGAGCUCUCGGCUAGAGAAGUGUUGGAGUACCGCUCCAUGUAUGGCUGAGAUUGCGCUUUAUAGAGUUGCAAACGGUGGCCCUGAGUGAAGUACCGUCUCGCCUUGCUGAGGAACAGCUUCUUAAGGCUAAAUUUAACUUUUUCUUUCAAAUAUGAGUUCGAAACUGAAUAUAAUUUCAGGCAUCAAAGUAUUGCACCGUACGACUCAAUAACGUCAAAAUGACGACAGCCCAGACGAUCGCAUCCAGGUCUGACAGAAAUUUCGUUGGACAGCUUAGGCAUGAGAUUAGAAUGAUCGAGUCCCCGAAGGGAGGUGGGCCAAUAUCGCGUCUCCCUGUUUAAUUUUUGUUUUAUCUGGAGGUCGCAGACGGAGAACUACCACAUCUUUCUUGACACACAGACGUGGUAGUUCUCCGCCUGCAAAGUACAAGGUGCAAGAAAGAGCUUUUAUGACAUCUGGUACACAGACUUUUAGCAAUUAAUAGAAAUAAAUCUAGUAUUCUACUAGUAGUAACAGA
Molecule: long non-coding RNA, 1373 nt
Organism: Pieris rapae (cabbage white)
Lineage: Eukaryota; Metazoa; Arthropoda; Insecta; Lepidoptera; Pieridae
Exons: 4
Source: RefSeq, a predicted model, not a curated record